UCUUGACCCGUUAUCUGAUCCGAGCCCAAAUCACAUAGCUAACUUUUUUUAGAACAAAUUGUAUAGCAGAGAUCUCCAUCUCCAUAUCCUGAAUCUGUUCAAGGAGAUGAUGCUAUUGGUGGUUUAGAUUUUCAUGCAAGAGGUGGUAGCAGCGAGUCGGCUCUGGGAAGAGAGGUGUUGUAAUGGAUUUGAGGAAGUCGAGUAGGUUCAAGGAGCUUUUACCCCAUCUAAAGCUUGCAUGUGUUAUAUCUUUUCUAGCAUUAUCUUCGUUUAUGCUUAGUGUUUCAAUAUUGUCAUAUACUUCUAUGUGUGAAUAUUUAUUUACUGUCACUAUAGGCCCAACAUCAUUCACCUCUGUAAUUGAGAAGGCUAUGACAAUUGUUGAAGAAACUGGUGGGCAAUGUCAUGUGUUGGUUAUAAUCGCUGAUGGUAACAAGAAGUGUGGAUACUGGGCGUGGUCUAUUGAGUCCACAAGAACAGAAAACCAUAGAUGCUAUAGUUGAAGCACGGUGCUUUUCUGCAACUUUGGUAAGUUUAUAAAAUAUUUUUUUUAUAGUUUUUUCCAUUAUCAAUUGUAUUAGUUGGAGUUGGUGAUGGGCCGUGGGACACAAUGAAUGAAUUCGAUGAUAAUAUCCCUUCUCGGAGCUUUGACAAUUUCCAGUUUGUGAAUUUCACGGAAAUCAUGACCAAAAAUGUGCCACCAAUCCGAAAGGAGAGAGAGUUUGCUCUUGCAGCACUAAUGGAAGUUCCUACUCAAUAUAAAGCAACCUAAGUGAUAUGUUUCCCGCCGCAUCGCGCGGGUAAACGACUAGUAGUUACCAUACCAGUAUCCAGGCAGCUCCAUUCGAAGCAUUGUACGGAUGAAAAUGUCGUUCACCUCUCUGUUGGGCUGAGGUGGGUGAUAGCCAGAUCACAGGUCCGGAGCUUGUACUCGAGACGUCAGAAAAGAUUGUUCAGAUUAAGAAUCGUAUGGCGGCAGCGCGCGACCGUCAGAAAAGCUACGCUGACAAGCGUAGGAAACCUUUGGAGUUCGCGGUGGGCGAUCGUGUCAUGUUGAAAGUCUCACCCUGGAAGGGUGUGGUGCGGUUUAGAAAACGCGGAAAGCUUAAUCCACGUUAUGUAGGGCCUUUUAAAAUUUUGGAACGAAUUGGUAAAGUGGCAUACAACCUCGAGUUACCCGCUGAGUUGGGUAACGUUCAUGAUGUUUUCCACGUGUCGCAACUAAAGAAGUGUUUGUCCGAUGAAAAUUGACGACAAGUUGCAGUUUGUCGAAGAACCUAUCGAAAUUAUGGACCAAGAAGUUAAGGUCCACAAGCAUAGUCGAAUUCCGAUCAUGAGAGUUCGUUGGAACUCAAGACGUGGACCGGAGUUCACAUGGGAACGCGAAGAUCAGAUGAAGCUCAAGUAUCCUCAUUUAUUCCCAGCUGACCAAACUAAUCCUGUUACAACUGGCGAAUUUCGGGACGAAAUUCCCUUUCAAGUUGGGGAUGAUGUGGCACCUAGGGAAGAUCCACAGUCAUCCUGACCUAACUACGUGUCGUUUUGGAUUGCUUAUCAAAUUUCGGGACGAAAUUUCUUUCAA
Helianthus annuus (common sunflower) is the source of this 1582-nucleotide long non-coding RNA. RefSeq lists it as uncharacterized. The record is from RefSeq and is a predicted model, not a curated record. The transcript is spliced from 3 exons. NCBI's taxonomy places the organism in Eukaryota, Viridiplantae, Streptophyta, Magnoliopsida, Asterales, Asteraceae.